Molecule: long non-coding RNA, 1522 nt
Organism: Esox lucius (northern pike)
Lineage: Eukaryota; Metazoa; Chordata; Actinopteri; Esociformes; Esocidae
Source: Ensembl
UAGUUUCCUCCAUCUUCUACCUACCCCUUCCCUUAGUUUCCUCGAUUUUCUGCCUACCCCUUCCCUUCGUUUCCUCCACCUUCUCUGUCUUGUCCUCUCCUUCCUUGCUUCCCUCCCCAACCUGGCCUUGGUCAAUACAACUUAUAUGAUAUAACACAGUAUGUGGUAUAUUAAGGGAGACCUUUCUGCUAACUAUUCAGGAAUUAGAGGUAAUCAACAGGAUGUUCUUCAACCUAGAUUUUGGGGAAACUAAAUACUCAAUAUAAAUAUGACCAUCCACGACUAUCUUUACAAGCCUUGGAUUAACACCUGUAAUGCUAUUAAGGGAUAAUUAAGGUGGGCUAACCAUGCUAAAAUUAAGCAUUGCUUAUUGUAUCGUAGUGCAAAUGCGCUAACAAAUAGUACUUUUAACAAGCUAAUGCAUGUUAGAAUCAGUGGAAGAGAUUAUUUCCAUACUUUAUUGUUGUUGAUUGGUGUGCUGUUAAUAUAAAAGAUAAUACAAAUGCACUUUAUGAUUCAUAAUUGUAUUUUCAUAAUUUUGUCUUUAAAAGGGCAUCUAUUUCUCACAAUGUUUGAACUAUUUAAAAUGAACUGAUCAGUAAGAUGACGAGUUAGCAGUUCUGCACCUAAUCCCAGGGGGCAUCAUUUUCCUACUGUAGUGCCCUACAUCUGUAAUAUGCUUUGGUCUAAGUUAACAUACUGUAGUAAAUAUGGUGUACUUUGGGAAACAAGCCAGAAUGGAUUUUUUCAUCACUGUCUUAAUUUGCAGCUAAAUUUAGUGAAGAACAGCACAAUGCAGGUAGCUGAUAGUUGUUGUGUUUGUAAGUUAUCUAUGUUUCUGGAAUAGACAUAGACAUUUCUCUCAGGUCCUGACAAAUGCUGUUAUCAUUAUAAAAGGUAGUUGCUUCACCAACACAGACAAUUUCAUAAUUAGUACAAGUAGUUGCCACAUCCCCACACACAUUAUCAUCAUUAUUGCAGGUAGUGGCCCCACCCUCACAGACAAAAUCAUCAUUAUUACAGGUAGUGGCCACUCCCCAAAAAACAUCAUUGUUAUAGGUAGAAUGGACACUACAGUAGUUAGAGUAAAUGGAACGAUAGCCUGCUAAAAGAAGUCUGUACUCUGACUUCACUCUCCGUUCUUCCCUUUACUUCACUUCCUCCACUUUCUAGCUGUAACAUUAUUUAGACCUUUUGUAAAACAUAAACUGGGUAACAUUGUCUGCCAAGCACUAUGCUUUCUAUAACCCUAAUUCUAGUAAGAGUUAGUAUCUGUCUAAAAGACCAAGGCUGUCAUAUGGACACAUCCUAGAUGCCACCUAUUUCCUGUAUUUCAGGUGCUUAGCACUACUACUAGGGUCCCGGUAAAAGGGAAUGGAGUGCUGUUGGGACAUAUCUUGCUUCAUUGUGCCUUAUCCCAUGAUCCCUCUUUUUUUGUGUGGUUUUGUGUUUCUGUUCUUGUCAGGUGAUGUUUUAUCCCAAUUAAUAGAAAAUCGUAAUUAAAUGGAUUCCACCACAGCUG